Molecule: ribosomal RNA, 795 nt
Filed under: Coniarthonia eos
Lineage: Eukaryota; Fungi; Ascomycota; Arthoniomycetes; Arthoniales; Arthoniaceae
Description: mitochondrial SSU rRNA
Rfam family: Bacterial small subunit ribosomal RNA
Source: RNAcentral
UAUUGGUCAAUAGCCCAACGGCUGAACCAGCAAUUUGCAAUAAUGAGGACGGGACAAAUUGUCUUGCAGCAUCUCGAUGCUGCCUUGGGUCCAGUGGUUUAUCCACAUAUAGUUAUGAAUAGAAUAUUGAUAAUGACAGCUUUCUGUUCAAAGGUCUCGACCAAAUCACGUGCCAGCAGUCGCGGUAAUACGAGGGAGACUAGUGUUAUUCAUCUUUAAUUGGUUUAAAGGGUACCUAGACAGUUAAUUUAGCCCCAAUCACAGGGUACAUAUUAUACUAGAGUUUUAUAAAAGAGGAUAAGUUUGGUACUAACAGAGUAGAGAUGAAAUUCUUUGAUACUGUUAUGAACGGGUAACGGCGAAAGCGAUCCUUUAUGUAAAAACUGACGUUGAGGGACGAAGGCAUUGAUAACAAACAGGAUUAGAUACCCUAAUAGUCUCUGCAGAAAAUUAUGAGUGCCAUAGAUAAGAAUUAUUUUUAUUUAUAAAUGAAAGUGUAAGCAUUCCACCUCAAGAGUAAUGUGGCAACGCAGGAACUGAAAUCAUUAGACCGUUUCUGAAACCAGUAGUGAAGUAUGUUAUUUAAUUUGAUAAUCCACAAAAAACCUUACCACAAUUUGAAUAUUUAUAGUGAUAUUAUUCCUAUUUAUACAAGUGUUGCAUGGCUGUCUUUAGUUAAUGUUGUGAAACGCAGGUUAGAUCCAUUAAAUUAACGAAAACCCUUGCCUUAUUUGUUUUUAUAAGGCAGUUCUCUAGUAUAUCAGAUUAGAUAACAGGGAUCAAGACAAGUAAUCA